AGUAUCUAAAAAAAUGAUGUCAUCUGUGAUUUCUCUGAUUGGGUUAACGCAUAGUUCACAUCCAAAGAAAUAGAAGCUUUGAGCUACAUCUUUUGUCAUCUGUGGGCUAUUUGGCAAAAAAAAAUAUUCUGGUUUUUGAGAACAAAAGGCAAUCUCUGCAGCAAACUUCGGCAGUAGCAGAUUCUUUAUUUUAUCAGGAGGCUGACACAAAUUCUGAUCACAAUGAGUCCUCUCAAGAGGUAAAGUGGAUCCCUCCUCCGAAUUUCUGCAUAAAAGGAAACUUUGAUGUCUUCUUGAAAGAUAAAAGUGGAACAGGUUUUGGGGUAAUUUUUAGUGAUAAUUUCUGCUACUGAUUUUUGGGGCCCUGUGGAGAGUCUGUGGAGCAAAAUGAAUGCAAAGGGGGUUGCUCCUGUGAAUUCCACUUAUGGGACCUUGAUUAAUGCUUAUAGCAAAGGUGGACUCAAAGAGGAAGCACUAGCGCGGUUACAGAGGAUGCAGAGUCAAGGAAUGGAGCCUGAUGAGGUCACCAUGGGGAUUGUUGUACCUACGUUCACGACUACAUUAAGAGAAAUUUUAAUUACUUACACACUUUUGCAAGCUUACAAGGUGUCUCUAUAUGUAGCACUAACGAGACACAAAUUUUUACAAACCAAGCGAUGUGGGACAAAGGAACUAAAACUUCAAAACUCUAACAUUCUUGACUGAUAUAUUGAGUUAUAAUAAUGUUCUUGGCUUGUAUUCUAUGGAUAGGAGGCUAAGGGAAGGCUACAGAGACUUUCAAGGAAAUGAUAAAAUAUGACAUUCAACCAGAUGAUUUUACUUUCAGAGCUCUUGCAAACAUUUUGCUGAAUUAUGGAGUUUCAAAGCAGGCUGUUGGUAGGCUGGAAGUAAUGGUGGAAAGGGAUGCUCCUCGUGGUUUGCAAGCAUGGAUUUUGGCACUCUCAUGUGCAUAUGAAGGAGUUCAUUAUACAAAUGAGUAGUUGUGGUUAAUUAUGGUUGGAGCAUACAUAAGGUCAAAAAGCAUGAUUGGAGGCUUACCUACUCUGGCUUUCCUCUGGAGCUGGUUGUUUGCCUUUUUAUUGGCUACAUGGUUGAGGCUAUGAUUGGAGCAUUUCAAUCACAGUAUUUAGAAUUACUACUGGAUACUGGGACGGGAACAAGUUUUGACUUUUACGAGUAUUCUUGAUGGUCGGUGAUGGGAAUUGGAUUGUUGAAACCCCUUUGGAACUACAUGAACUGCUUUUUUCCCCUUUUUCUUCAUUUCAAGGACAAAAGUAAUUUAGAAUAUAUGAGGAAUGAGGAUUAAAAGAAAAUAAGAAAGAAUAUCUAGAAGUAUCGUCACAAUAGUGAAAUGCAUCUUAUGAAAAUUCAUCAGAGAUUUUCAAACUAAAAUCAUUUCAUAGAUUAUUUUGCCAAUGAAUGAAUUAUAUAUAAUUAUUGGUGGUUAGUAUUUGGAAUGCAUAUAUAUUUUUUUUCUUUAUAAUAUAAUAUGCGUGUGACUAACCAUGGAUAAUAUUAUUUUCUCGUCCUUUGGUUGCACAAUAUAUGGUUAUUCUCAGAUUUUUCUUAAGGAAUUGAUUUUUUUUAUAUUGUUAUCUUGACUUCAAUUUCAGGUGCUUGUCAACCACAUGGAGCUAUAUUUCUGUCCUCAAAAACUAAGAAAAGUGAUGCACUUAUCCACUAAUUGUAGUUCUUCAUGGGGGACCACAAUCUGUCUCAUUGUCAAGCUUUUCAAAGCCAUUGGCUUAUCUUUCUUCCCUUGGAUAUAGCUUGUUAAUUGUGAACUACAGGUAAAUGGUAUCCUAUUGGUGCUCAAACAUUUGAUCUAGGCUAUACAAUUUCAAUUCAUAAGUUUGAUGGGUUCUAUCAUAUUUCUGUUGAUUCUUUACGUAGGCUAUACAAUUUCAAUUCAUAAGUUUGAUGGGUUCUAUCAUAUUUCUGUUGAUUCUUUACGUAGUGUUAGAUUAAGAGAUGGAUUCUUAUUCUCACACUGAUCACUGAUGAUGAUGGAGAUAAGUGUUAGGAGACUUUUAGAGAUUCUGAACCUCGACCACACAUAACACAAACAUUGCGUGUGGUUCAACAAGUAUUGCAAAUGAACAGUAUUUUCAGACUAUCGAUUGAAUCAUUUGACUCCCUUAAUAUUAAUGCUAUUUGGGCAGAGUGUAUUUUAUAUUUGAAAAAAAAAGUGGAACAGACUGUAUUUGUCAUUGUUAUUUUUAUUUUUUUUUAAUAAAAAAAUUGAUUCAGGACGUCUUCUAGCUUUGGGUUAUGAAAAUAUAAUAAAACUCUCAUUGUUUAUAGUUAAUUUUCUUUGGCAUUGUGAACCAAGGAGGAUUGUUUUAUAGGCUGAUCUUCCAACUGUGGAAGACUCGCAAUGAUGGUAUUUUUAAGUGACAAUUCAUCAUCCCUAGUUCAUUCUCAACCAGGUUUGGCUCCUUCAUAGUUCGAUUAUUGCAACUUUGAAGUUGGGAACUCCUCAACGCCAAACUAUAGGCAUUACUUGGACUCCUCUUCCUGCGUCUAAAGUGAAGCUUAAUGUUGACAAGAGCUCCUUGGGUAACCUGGGACCUUCAGGAUUUGGCAUAUUAAUUCAUGAUUCUCAUGGUUCUUGGUUAGUUGGCUUUUUAGGAUACUGUUGAUAUACUACAAAUGUUAGUGUUGUACUUAAUGUUAUUUGCAAAGACAUAGAGUUGGCGUGAAACAUAGACUAUAGAAUGAUAGAGUGUGAAUUAGACUCUUGUUGAUUUAAACCUAAUUGAUCGACACAAUGUUGGCUUUCAUCGGAUGACAAUUAUCAUUAAUCUUAUUUGAUCUUUCA
This is a long non-coding RNA of Glycine soja, 2821 nucleotides long. RefSeq lists it as uncharacterized. The transcript is spliced from 2 exons. The record is from RefSeq and is a predicted model, not a curated record. NCBI's taxonomy places the organism in Eukaryota, Viridiplantae, Streptophyta, Magnoliopsida, Fabales, Fabaceae.